AGGCAUUCUGAAGAACCAUGCUGAAGACCUCUUACAGCCAGCAGAGCCAAGAAAGUCACCCUAAGUGGUUUGGCCCUGCUCCCUGGUCAGGGGCUGCCUAACACUGGUCACUCUUGGGUUCUCCGACAUCAGGAGAACUAGGUCCAUGUCAAAGGGCUCACCGUGAGAGCCCUGCUACCUCUCACACCUCCCACUUGAGAGCAACAUUCCUCCAUCCCAUGCCUUUGCCCUGAGAGUGGCCAUCUGGCCAGAGUCAGCAGCACUAUCAAGAAGCUUCCCUCUAAACAAAGGCAACUUGCCCAUGAGAAGAAAAAACAAACGCCACUAUGACAGCCUCCAUUAAUAGACAUCAAAACUAGCCCCCAAGUGUGAAAAUCCAAAUCAAUUUGAUUUAUGAAAACUAAGCAAACUUUCCAGUAGGUUUGGCACAUCCACAGCACUGGAGAAAGGCCUUAAUUAUACUGCCUCUGCUCAUUAAAGAGAUAAGAUCUUAGCAGAGACAAGCUAUGUUUUGUCUUCAGAAAAAAAUGUAAAUCCAUCUGGCCCCAUAUUUUAUAGUCGUCAAUAGCCCGAGGCCAUGUGAAAUGCCCAAAGUUUUCAUCUUCUCAGGUCUGGGGGUGGAACAGAAAUGAGACAUCAACAUGAGAGCUCUGAGGCCGGCAGCACGGUGAUGAUGGUGAUGUAUUGGAGCAUUCCUGUCUCUGCAGAGUCCCAGAGCUGAACACUGCACAUGGACUAGAUGAGAUGCCAAAGUAUAAAAAGCCAAAGGAAGAAACAGCCCUGCAGUUUAUCACAAAAAUACCUUCUCUUGGACCAUCAAUGGGAAGAAGACUCCUAUUCUUAAUGGUUCAGCUGGCUCCUCUUUCAGCCCAGAAAAGACCAAUGCUCUCUGGGCAUAAGCCUUUGAGUGUCCCAGGGCUACUCAAUGAGGUUGUCCCAAAUACCGACUAGAGAGUCAGUUGGUGUGAAUGGAAAACUACGUAUGGGCAAUAGGGUUCCAACACCCGGGAGAGCCUAUCAUUGUUCAAAUGAAAGUGCCUUGGAGGAAACAGUGCUUUCUGCUGACUCUCACCCAGCAGAAGCCCCAUAAGUUCCUCACUGCACAGUUAGGACUCAGCAAGAGUAAGUGUGUCAAACUCAGAAAUGUUCCUUUACAAAGGGAUGGACUUGUUUCGGCCCCAAAAGAGGAUGAAAUCUGAGAGGCCCAAGACAGAAGGAUGAACAGAACGGACAACACCAAGAGGUAAUGAGUUGCCUGUUGCUAGUGGUAUUUCAUUACAGGCAAUGGUAUGCGGGAUCUGGCUUGCACUUCCUUGUGAGACCUACUUGUAAGGAUCUUCCCAGCUCUGUGUUCAGAAACGUUGUAUUGAUAGCUUGAACUCAGCCUAGAGUGGCUGUCAUUGUUGUUGGCCCCACCACCAAGGUUCCC
RNAcentral lists this long non-coding RNA (1429 nucleotides) under Felis catus (domestic cat). Its description in RNAcentral is "lncRNA (ENSFCAG00000044381.2)". The record is from RNAcentral. Lineage: Eukaryota; Metazoa; Chordata; Mammalia; Carnivora; Felidae.